RNAcentral lists this ribosomal RNA (492 nucleotides) under uncultured bacterium. RNAcentral's name for it is "partial 16S ribosomal RNA". It matches the Rfam family "Bacterial small subunit ribosomal RNA", at positions 29 to 507 of the family's 1533-position model. The record is from RNAcentral.
AGUGAACGCUGGCGGUAGGCCUAACACAUGCAAGUCGAACGGCAGCACAGUAAGAGCUUGCUCUUACGGGUGGCGAGUGGCGGACGGGUGAGGAAUACAUCGGAAUCUACUUUUUCGUGGGGGAUAACGUAGGGAAACUUACGCUAAUACCGCAUACGACCUACGGGUGAAAGCAGGGGAUCUUCGGACCUUGCGCGAUUGAAUGAGCCGAUUUCGGAUUAGCUAGUUGGCGGGGUAAAGGCCCACCAAGGCGACGAUCCGUAGCUGGUCUGAGAGGAUGAUCAGCCGCACUGGAACUGAGACACGGUCCAGACUCCUACGGGAGGCAGCAGUGGGGAAUAUUGGACAAUGGGCGCAAGCCUGAUCCAGCCAUACCGCGUGGGUGAAGAAGGCCUUCGGGUUGUAAAGCCCUUUUGUUGGGAAAGAAAAGCAGCAGGUUAAUACCACGCUGUUCUGACGGUACCCAAAGAAUAAGCACCGGCUAACUUCGUG